This 664-nucleotide long non-coding RNA is filed under the name Homo sapiens (human). RNAcentral's name for it is "non-protein coding lnc-PITPNM2-1:3". Lineage: Eukaryota; Metazoa; Chordata; Mammalia; Primates; Hominidae. The record is from RNAcentral.
GGAAAAGGAUUCUUCACCUGGAAGUUCAUCAACAAGCUUGUUGAUAAAAAAGCAAAGAGAGACUUCAGACACGCCGAUCAUGAGAGCUUUAAAAGAACUUGAUGAGGGAAAAAUAUUUAAAAAUUGGGGGACACAGACAGAGAAAGAGGACACCUCAAAUAUAAAUCCUCGGCAAACUGAAACUUCAGUUAAUGCAAGUCGUUCUCCAGAAAAGUGUGCCCAACAGAGACAAAAGAGACUUAAUUCGGCCUCACAGAGAUCAUCAUCUUUACCACCUUCAAAUCGUAAAUCAAGUACUCCAACAAAAAGAGAGAUUAUGCUAACACCAGUGACUGUGGCUUAUAGUCCAAAGCGAUCCCCUAAAGAAAACUUGUCCCCAGGAUUUAGUCAUCUGCUUAGCAAAAAUGAGAGCAGUCCAAUUCGGUAAGUUCUCUAAAAUUGUAGAAUAAAGUUUACUAUAUUAGUGAUUUUUUUCUAAAUGUUGACUUAUGUCUCUAGCUAUCACUAAUUUUUCAGUUACCAGUGGGAACUCUGUGAAUUUCAUUUAAAUCAUAAGUGAAUGUCAUACUACAACUAAAGUACUGCAGUACAAUGAACACAGUUUUUAACUAUGUAAACUUGCUACUACUAGAUUUUAAAUUAUCACCUCAGCACCCCUGUCAGC